AGAGUUUGAUCAUGGCUCAGAACGAACGCUGGCGGCGUGCCUAACACAUGCAAGUCGAACGAGAAAGGGGCUUCGGCCCUGAGUAAAGUGGCGCACGGGUGAGUAACACGUAGGUAACCUGCCUCUAAGAUUGGGAUAACCUGUCGAAAGACGGGCUAAUACCAAAUAAGACCACGGUCUCUUCGGAGACUGAGGUCAAAGGUAGCCUCUAUUUAUAUGCUAUCGUUUAGAGAUGGGCCUGCGCACCAUUAGCUAGUUGGUGGGGUAAGAGCCUACCAAGGCAAAGAUGGUUAGCUGGUCUGAGAGGAUGAUCAGCCACACUGGAACUGAGACACGGUCCAGACUCCUACGGGAGGCAGCAGUGGGGAAUAUUGGACAAUGGGCGAAAGCCUGAUCCAGCGACGCCGCGUGGGUGAAGAAGGCCUGCGGGUUGUAAAGCCCUUUCGGUGGGGAAGAAAAGCCUCGAGUUAACACCUUGGGGUCUUGACGUAACCCAUAGAAGAAGCACCGGCUAACUCUGUGCCAGCAGCGGCGGUAAUAC
Molecule: ribosomal RNA, 541 nt
Filed under: uncultured bacterium
Lineage: Bacteria
Description: bacterial SSU rRNA
Rfam family: Bacterial small subunit ribosomal RNA
Source: RNAcentral